RNAcentral lists this ribosomal RNA (744 nucleotides) under uncultured bacterium. RNAcentral describes it as "bacterial SSU rRNA". It matches the Rfam family "Bacterial small subunit ribosomal RNA", at positions 59 to 801 of the family's 1533-position model. The record is from RNAcentral.
CAGUCGAACGAAGCGGCUGCAGGGAUUCCCUUCGGGGAGGAACAGUAGCUGUCUGAGUGGCGGACGGGUGAGUAACGCGUGGGCAACCUGCCCCAUACCGGGGGAUAACAGCCGGAAACGGCUGCUAAUACCGCAUACGCCCAGGAGGCUGCAUAGCUUGCUGGGGAAAACUCCGGUGGUAUGGGAUGGGCCCGCGUCUGAUUAGCUCGUUGGCGGGGUAACGGCCCACCAAGGCGACGAUCAGUAGCCGGCCUGAGAGGGCGGCCGGCCACAUUGGGACUGAGACACGGCCCAGACUCCUGCGGGAGGCAGCAGUGGGGAAUAUUGCACAAUGGGGGAAACCCUGAUGCAGCGACGCCGCGUGAGCGAUGAAGUAUCUCGGUAUGUAAAGCUCUAUCAGCAGGGAAGAAAGUGACAGUACCUGACUAAGAAGCCCCGGCUAACUACGUGCCAGCAGCCGCGGUAAUACGUAGGGGGCAAGCGUUAUCCGGAUUCACUGGGCGUAAAGGGAGCGCAGGCGGCACGGCAAGUCUGGUGUGAAAACCCGGGGCUCAACCCCGGGACUGCAUUGGAAACUGCCGGGCUGGAGUGUCGGAGGGGUAAGCGGAAUUCCUAGUGUAGCGGUGAAAUGCGUAGAUAUUAGGAGGAACACCAGUGGCGAAGGCGGCUUACUGGACGAUGACUGACGCUGAGGCUCGAAAGCGUGGGGAGCAAACAGGAUUAGAUACCCUGGUAGUCCACGCC